GAAAUGCGAUACGUAAUGCGAAUUGCAGAAUUCAGUGAAUCAUCGAAUUUUUGAACGCAAAUUGCGCUUUCGGGAUAGGCCUGAAAGCAUGUUUCUUUGAGCCUCGUGUCUAACCCACCUCGGCUGCGUGCCGGAAAAUGGAAGUCUUGUUUCAUGGAACAAGUCUUUUUAAGAUCAUUGAGUCCAUGACUGCCCGCCUGGCAAUGAUUCUUUUGCUCAGCGGCGCGAUUGUAAGUGUAAACUUAAUCUCUCGUCGCUCUGUAGAUGAUUCAGAACUAUUUGGUUGGUCAGAUCAAGGAUGAUUCGGAAAACACUUUUGACUUAGAGCUCAAAUGAAGCAAGAUAACCCGCUGAACUUAA
Molecule: unclassified non-coding RNA, 360 nt
Filed under: uncultured fungus
Lineage: Eukaryota; Fungi
Description: sequence contains ITS1
Rfam family: 5.8S ribosomal RNA (bases 1-106)
Source: RNAcentral